CUUUAAGGAAGUCCUAAUGCAAUAGAUUUUCAUAUUCCUGCAUCAAGGAUAAAUUCAAACUGGGGAGGGAUUUGUUAGACCUCACCAACUCACUCUCAAACUCACUCUUUUCUACAAAGAAGCUUAACUUACCAUUUUCUCUCCUCUCAAUAGGCUCUCUUUCUUUUCUCUCAUGUGGCUCUACUCGGUUUUUCUCACAUUUAGCCACCUCUCCACUUUCUCUUGAGCCCUCUUUUUCUUUCUUUUUACCUUUACUCUCAUUCUCACCCCUCAACCUCACUUGAUCUUCAUACACUUGCUGCUGUGUCAAUGGUGCAAGCGUGAUAGUUUUUUUUAUCCUUGUCAAAGCUGUAUCUAUUUCUGAACCCAUCAUGUUUAACCCUUCUAUCAUAUUGCCACGGCCUAUCCAAUAAAAUAUGACCCUCAUGCAUUGGCACAAUAUCACACAAUAUCUCAUCUUUAUAUUGCCCAAUUGAAAAGUUCACCAAAACCCUCUUAUUCACCUUAACUUCUCCACGAUCAUCCAACCAUUGUAGUUUAUACAGUUUAGGGUGUCUUAUUGUUCUCAGCCCUAACUUCUCAACUAAAGUGGUACUAGCAAUAUUAGUGCAACAACCUCCAUCAAUAAUUAAACCACAUACCUUAUUCUCCACGUGGCAUCUAAUGUGAAAGAUAUUUUCUCGUUGCUUUGCAUCAGCACAAGUGCUUCACCAUCCACUGCAUGCUCUACCACUUCAUCACUAGUAAUAUCUUCUAACCCAGGCAUCCCAUCUCCAUCACUGUCACUCACUACUUCUCCAUUAGCACUCAAGAUCAUCGAUCUCUUGUUAAGACAUUGAGAUGCAAUGUGUCCCUUUCCCAAGCAUUUGAAACAUUUAAUGUCCCGGCUCCUAGCAGUUUGUGACUCUGCUUUAGGAGGUUCUUUGCUAGCAUUUUCUUCUUUCUCCCUUGACACUUCAGCUUUAUUGUUUGCAACAACCCCAUCAACCCUAUCAUCAUCCCCUCUCAACCUCCAAGCUGAGUUAGGAUCCAAUUGAUUCCUAGCCAUCCCCUUUCGCUUCAACUGUCAUUCUACCUUCAUGGCCACAUGCAGCAUAUCCUCUAACUUCACAUAGUGUUGCAUCUCCACCACCUUAGCAAUAUCCCUAUUCAACCCAUUUAGAAAACGAGCCAUAGUGGCUUCCCGGUCCUCCUCCACAUUAGCCCUAAUCAUCAAGAUUUUCAUCUCCUUGUGAUAGUCCUCUACAC
This 1248-nucleotide long non-coding RNA is filed under the name Olea europaea subsp. europaea. Lineage: Eukaryota; Viridiplantae; Streptophyta; Magnoliopsida; Lamiales; Oleaceae. The record is from RNAcentral.